Molecule: ribosomal RNA, 551 nt
Filed under: uncultured Glomeromycotina
Lineage: Eukaryota; Fungi; Glomeromycota
Description: SSU rRNA
Rfam family: Eukaryotic small subunit ribosomal RNA
Source: RNAcentral
UUGGAGGGCAAGUCUGGUGCCAGCAGCCGCGGUAAUUCCAGCUCCAAUAGCGUAUAUUAAAGUUGUUGCAGUUAAAAAGCUCGUAGUUGAACUUCGGGGUCUACCCAUUGGUCAGGCUUAAUUGUCUGCACUGGUGAGAUGGAUCUCUACCUUCUGAGGAACUUUCAUGCCAUUUAUUUGGUGUGAUGGGAAAUCAGGACUGUUACUUUGAAAAAAUUAGAGUGUUUAAAGCAGACUAUCGUCUGAAUACAUUAGCAUGGAAUAAUGAAAUAGGACGGACUGAUUCUAUUUCGUUGGUUUCUAGGAUCACCGUAAUGAUUAAUAGGGAUAGUUGGGGGCAUUAGUAUUCAAUUGUCAGAGGUGAAAUUCUUGGAUUUAUUGAAGACUAACUACUGCGAAAGCAUUUGCCGAGGAUGUUUUCAUUAAUCAAGAACGAAAGUUAGGGGAUCGAAGACGAUCAGAUACCGUCGUAGUCCUAACCAUAAACUAUGCCGACUAGGGAUCGGACGAAGUUAAUUUUAUAAUGACGCGUUCGGCGCCUUACGGGAAAC